RNAcentral lists this ribosomal RNA (600 nucleotides) under uncultured bacterium. Its description in RNAcentral is "bacterial SSU rRNA". It matches the Rfam family "Bacterial small subunit ribosomal RNA", at positions 87 to 683 of the family's 1533-position model. The record is from RNAcentral.
CUGAUUCAGCGGCGGACGGGUGAGUAAUGCCUAGGAAUCUGCCCGAUAGUGGGGGACAACGUUUCGAAAGGAACGCUAAUACCGCAUACGUCCUACGGGAGAAAGUGGGGGAUCUUCGGACCUCACGCUAUCGGAUGAGCCUAGGUCGGAUUAGCUAGUUGGUGAGGUAAUGGCUCACCAAGGCGACGAUCCGUAACUGGUCUGAGAGGAUGAUCAGUCACACUGGAACUGAGACACGGUCCAGACUCCUACGGGAGGCAGCAGUGGGGAAUAUUGGACAAUGGGCGAAAGCCUGAUCCAGCCAUGCCGCGUGUGUGAAGAAGGUCUUCGGAUUGUAAAGCACUUUAAGUUGGGAGGAAGGGCAGUAAGCUAAUACCUUGCUGUUUUGACGUUACCAACAGAAUAAGCACCGGCUAACUCUGUGCCAGCAGCCGCGGUAAUACAGAGGGUGCAAGCGUUAAUCGGAAUUACUGGGCGUAAAGCGCGCGUAGGUGGUUCAGCAAGUUGGAUGUGAAAUCCCCGGGCUCAACCUGGGAACUGCAUCCAAAACUACUGAGCUAGAGUACGGUAGAGGGUGGUGGAAUUUCCUGUGUAGCGGUG